RNAcentral lists this small RNA (191 nucleotides) under Pan troglodytes (chimpanzee). Its description in RNAcentral is "processed transcript". The record is from RNAcentral. Lineage: Eukaryota; Metazoa; Chordata; Mammalia; Primates; Hominidae.
UGACCAGGCUGGUCUCGAAUUCCUGACCUCAGGUGAUCCGCCCACCUCAGCCUCCCAAAGUGCCAGGAUUACAGGUGUGAACCACUGUGCCCGGCCGGCACCAAAACUUGCACCUAUCCUAAAUAUGGAGCUUCAGUGCCGAGGCUGCAGGGCUGCUGUCUGCCUCUUUACCUGGCUUCUAGGCCGCCAGG